AGACAUUAAUCUUAAGUAUCCAGGGAGCCCUAAAACAUUGUAUCCCACUAGCAAGGACCAUGGUAAUUGCCACGUAAAUCCCCUCCAUUAUGUGGCCCUUAUUAUGACCAGCCAGCCAAGGCUUGCCUUUAAAUCAUACCAAUUGAACCGAGCCUUGUAGAAACACUAUCACCUACGCAUACCUCUGCUUCUUUUCAUUAACCUGCUAUCCUCUUUACAAAUGGGAUUCUUCACCCACUCCCUUCUUCUAGAUUAGCAAUGCCCUGUUAAGUAAACGAACACGAAAUUCAAAGGGAAACAGGAGCAAUCAUCAUUACCAGCUGCCGUGUUAAGCAUUGCGAAAACGCUCACGAUUCACAGAAAAAUCCAUGCUGUUCUUUGAAGGCAUUCAAGCCUUAAUAGCUAGCUGGAUGAAUGUUUAACUUCUAGGCCAGGCACUACUCUGUCCCAACAAUAAGCCCUGUACAUUGGGAAAGGUGCCGAGACAUGAACUUUGGUCUUCUCUGCAAUCCAUCUGGAGCAUUCACUGACAACAUCGACUUUGAAGUUGCACUGACCUGGCCAGCCCUGCCACUUACCAGGUUGGCUCUGUAUGGCUAAGCGUUUUCUCCUAAAAUCCCUUGAAAACUGUGAGAAGACCAUAAGAAGAUCAUAUCUUUAAUUCUAUUUCACAAGUCACACAAUAUUCCAAUCAAAUACAGAUGGUUGAGAAAAGUCAUCCAUCUUCCCUCCCCACCCUCCCACAGCCCCUCAACCACUGCCCUGAAACUUAUAUGCUGUUAUCCGCAGCUCCAUCUGGAGCAUCACAGCUACUGUCAACCCUGACGCUCUUUCUGAAAAAACACCGGAUGGACAUCAGAACUAUUUCUUUAAGGAUGUUACUGAGCCACACAGGAAAACUUGCCUUAUGAUUUUGAAUGCACGGAUCUGAUUUGACUAAACAUGAUAACUAGAGAAUCACCCAAUCUACUCCCAUUUUCAACUCUAAAUCAUCAGAGUGUCUCAAAUCCAAAGCACACACAGACCAGCCUGGCCAACACGGUGAAACUCCACCCCUACUAAAAGUAUAAAAAUUAUCCAGGUGUGGUGGCGGGCGCCUGUAAUCCAAGCUACUUGGGAGUCUGGAGGCAGGAGAAUCCCUUGAACCUGGGAGAUGGAGGUUGCAGUGAGCAGAGAUCACACCACCGCACUCUAGCCUGGGCCACAAAUCAACAACAACAACAACAACAAAAAACAAAGCGCACACAGAGACUGAGGUCCUCUUUGGCAUUGAGAAGAUGGCUAUGCAAGUCCCAACUAGCAAGUGCAAACUUCCCAGCUUCACUUCUGCCAGUGUCCCUUCACCCCUUCUCAACCCCACUGGGAGGCAGGAGGGUGCUUGACAAUAACAGCCUUGGCAUCACUCUGCCAGGGUGUAAUAGGAACUGUUACAAUUCUGAGAUUCUGUGUAAGCACUGGCCUUUCUGCCUAGAAUGCCUUCUCCUCUCUUUUUUAACUGCAUGCUCCUAUUUAUCUUUCAAAGCCCGGAAAAAAUAACACUGCACACGGGAAAUGCUCCCUUCCUACUGCAGUCAUUUAGAUGACUCUAUGCCAUUCCAUUCAUUUCUCUUUCCUACCACAGAAGUGCUUUGAGAUUUUGGAGUCAGACUGCUUGAACUUGAAUCCUGGCCCUCUCAUCAGAGACUUGACUUAUUUUAGGCAAGUUAUAUAACCAAUUUUACCUCAGUUCCUUACCCAUAAAAUGGGUCUAAUGAGAGUACCUACCACACAGAAUUUUGAUGAAAACUGAAUGAGAUGAAGGCCUUUAAGGCAGUGGUCCCCAACCCUGGGGACACAGACAGGUACCAUUUUGUGGCCUGUUAGGAACUGGGCCACACAGCAGGAGGUGAGCAGUGGGUGAGUGAGAUCAGCGUUAUUUACAGCUGCUCCCCAUUGCUCACCUUACUGCCUGAGCUCCACCUCCUGUCAGAUCAGCAGUGGCAUUAAAUUCUCAUAGCAGCACAAACCCUGUCAUGAACUGCACAUGCGAGGGAUCUAGGUUGUGCGCUCCUUAUGAGAAUCUAAUGCCUAAUGACCUGUCACCGUCUCCCAUCACCCCUAGAUGGGAGUGUCUAGUUGCAGGAAACAAGCUCAGGGCUUCCACUGAUUCUACAUUAUGGCACUCAGGAAAUAUUAGUUGCAUGAACGAAGGCUGCAUUUUCAUUAGAACAACAUGCAGUUCAACCCCUUCAUGUUUCAAUGAGGGUUCAGAUACCCAGAGGGCUAUGCUAUCAUCCUGGAGCCCACUCUGCUAACAAUUAGCAGAACGGAAGCCUUAAUUUCCAGAUUCUAGUGAACUUGAUGAGUCAAGACUAUUGCAAUUGGAAAUCUGUUCUCCUCUGCUGCUGCAUUCCCUGCUUAAUACUCAAGCCAGAAACCAGGAAGGCUGUGGCUUGCCUUUUCACUUCUUGUGUCCUGUUUAAGAAAUAUCUGCUAUCCCAAGCAUCUGGCAUCUUUCUUGACAUAUGUAGCAGUUGCUUUUUGACAGCUUGCUUCUUCAGUGAAUGAAUAAAUUAAUAAAGAGAAAUGUGAUGUUCAGUGAUCCAUUUUGCAGAUAACACUAACAAAGUUGACCUUAGAAUUGGAGUGCCUGGGUUAGAACCCUGCUGGUACCACCUGCUUACUGCAUGCUUCUGAUGUGAGUUCAGGAGAAGACACUGGCAAGGACAGCAAAGAACAGGAGAACACUCUAGCUUCCCUGAUAGCAUUCAAGGUGCUGUCCAAAGCUCUUGAGUUUCUGCUUUCAAGUGACCCUCAGAAAUUCCUCCAUUCACUGCAGAGGUUCUGUUUCUCCUUGCUUUGUUCUGACUUUACGGCAGAACUAAGCUAAUGAGUUAGUUACUAUGGGUUAUCACUUGGAUUUGAAGAACCAUCAUUUCUAGGCAUUGCUGCUCAGAGUGGGUCUGCCCUCAGGGGAAGCUGUCUAACCAGAGCCUAACCCACUAGGGUUUUAUCAGAACCUAACUGACCUGAGGAAAAGAAAUACUCAACUCCAGCAAGCUCCAGCCUUCCAAAUGGAGGAGGAGAAAACCCAACUCCAGCCCACUUCAGCUAUCUUGUCCCACAUAAAGGGGAAGUGGAAGAAACCUGAGAAGCAGGCAUGAAGUUCACAGUCCAGAGACCUUGCCAUCGUAUCCCCUUUUGGAGACACAAGCCAGGAAGGAAGCUCUUCAGUGCAGCUGUGAAUAGAGAAAUGCUGGCUGAGGUUUUGGAGACACUGGGUGAUCAUUCCCAGUGAAAUUUUUAGAUCCCUGGGGACAUGAGCUGCUUUGUCUUUUCCAAGGUCAGGAUAAACAGAAUAACUUCAGGCUUCUCUACCCAGAAAGAACAUGUGGCAUAAAUAUCAACUGCAGAAUAAAUAUGAUUAAUCUGGUACAUGGACGAAGAUGUUUUCUAGGAGAUGCUUAUCCUGGGAUGAGAGCUUUCAUAAGCAUUGAUAUUUACAUGACUCUUACCGUGUGUCAGGAACUGUUCUAAUUGUUUUACCUAUGUCAAUUCAUUUGAUAGUCACAACCACUGAAAGGAGUAAGUACUCUUAUUACUUCCAUUUUACAGAUAGGGAAACUGAGGUAUAGAGAAGUCAAGUGACUUGCCCGAGGUUAUUAAACUACUUAAUGUCAACACCA
This 3665-nucleotide long non-coding RNA is filed under the name Homo sapiens (human). RNAcentral's name for it is "PREDICTED lncRNA (TCONS_00257675)". The record is from RNAcentral. Lineage: Eukaryota; Metazoa; Chordata; Mammalia; Primates; Hominidae.